RNAcentral lists this ribosomal RNA (444 nucleotides) under uncultured bacterium. RNAcentral describes it as "bacterial SSU rRNA". It matches the Rfam family "Bacterial small subunit ribosomal RNA", at positions 29 to 521 of the family's 1533-position model. The record is from RNAcentral.
AACGAACGCUGGCGGCAGGCUUAACACAUGCAAGUCGAGCGCCCCGCAAGGGGAGCGGCAGACGGGUGAGUAACGCGUGGGAACAUACCCUUUGGUUCGGAAUAACUCAGGGAAACUUGAGCUAAUACCGGAUACGUCCGUAAGGAGAAAGAUUUAUCGCCAAAGGAUUGGCCCGCGUCCGAUUAGCUAGUUGGUGAGGUAACGGCUCACCAAGGCUACGAUCGGUAGCUGGUCUGAGAGGAUGAUCAGCCACACUGGGACUGAGACACGGCCCAGACUCCUACGGGAGGCAGCAGUGGGGAAUAUUGGACAAUGGGCGAAAGCCUGAUCCAGCAAUGCCGCGUGAGUGAUGAAGGCCUUAGGGUUGUAAAGCUCUUUACCCGGGAUGAUAAUGACAGUACCGGGAGAAUAAGCUCCGGCUAACUACGUGCCAGCAGCCGCGGU